This 481-nucleotide ribosomal RNA is filed under the name uncultured bacterium. RNAcentral describes it as "bacterial SSU rRNA". It matches the Rfam family "Bacterial small subunit ribosomal RNA", at positions 30 to 501 of the family's 1533-position model. The record is from RNAcentral.
AUUGAACGCUGGCGGCAUGCCUUACACAUGCAAGUCGAACGGCAGCACGGGAGCAAUCCUGGUGGCGAGUGGCGAACGGGUGAGUAAUAUAUCGGAACGUGCCCGGUCGUGGGGGAUAACGUAGCGAAAGCUACGCUAAUACCGCAUACGAUCUACGGAUGAAAGCGGGGGAGUCGCAAGACCUCGCGCGAUUGGAGCGGCCGAUAUCAGAUUAGGUAGUUGGUGAGGUAAAGGCUCACCAAGCCGACGAUCUGUAGCUGGUCUGAGAGGACGACCAGCCACACUGGGACUGAGACACGGCCCAGACUCCUACGGGAGGCAGCAGUGGGGGAAUUUUGGACAAUGGGCGCAAGCCUGAUCCAGCAAUGCCGCGUGCAGGAUGAAGGCCUUCGGUUGUAAACUGCUUUGUACGGACGAAACGGUGGAGCUCUAAUAACAGUUUGUCUAAUGACGGGUACCGUAAGAAUAAGCACCGGCUAAC